Non-coding RNA from Xenorhabdus nematophila ATCC 19061, 98 nucleotides. Lineage: Bacteria; Pseudomonadati; Pseudomonadota; Gammaproteobacteria; Enterobacterales; Morganellaceae. The record is from Rfam.
CUUUAACAAUCUGGAACAAGCUGAAAAUUUGAAACACUCAGUACCGUCGAACGGUAUUGAUGAAUCUCUCAAAAACUCCAGUCCGAAGACACCUUCGG